GAAUAUUGCACAAUGGAGGAAACUCUGAUGCAGCGACGCCGCGUGAGUGAUGAAGGCUUUCGGGUCGUAAAGCUCUGUCGCAGGGGAAUAACACAAUGAAGGUACCCGGUAAGAAAGGAUCGGCUAACUUCGUGCCAGCAGCCGCGGUAAGACGAGGGAUCCUAGCGUUGUUCGGAAUCAUUGGGCGUAAAGCGGGUGCAGGUGGCUAUGUAAGUCAGAUGUGAAAGCCCAGGGCUCAACCCUGGAAGUGCAUUUGAUACUGCGUAGCUUGAGUGCUGGAGAGGUUACUAGAAUUCUUGGUGUAGUGGUGAAAUACGUAGAUAUCAAGAGGAAUACCGGUGGCGAAGGCGGGUAACUGGCCAGACACUGACACUCAGACCCGAAAGCGUGGGGAUCAAACAG
Molecule: ribosomal RNA, 402 nt
Filed under: uncultured bacterium
Lineage: Bacteria
Description: bacterial SSU rRNA
Rfam family: Bacterial small subunit ribosomal RNA
Source: RNAcentral